Molecule: ribosomal RNA, 662 nt
Filed under: uncultured bacterium
Lineage: Bacteria
Description: bacterial SSU rRNA
Rfam family: Bacterial small subunit ribosomal RNA
Source: RNAcentral
AGUGGCGGACGGGUGAGUAACGCGUGAGAAUCUGCCUUCAGGUCGGGGACAACAGAGGGAAACUUCUGCUAAUCCCGGAUGAGCCUUAGGGUAAAAAAUUUAUUGCCUGGAGAUGAGCUCGCGUCUGAUUAGCUAGUUGGUAAGGUAAAAGCUUACCAAGGCAACGAUCAGUAGCUGGUCUGAGAGGAUGAGCAGCCACACUGGGACUGAGACACGGCCCAGACUCCUACGGGAGGCAGCAGUGGGGAAUUUUCCGCAAUGGGCGAAAGCCUGACGGAGCAAGACCGCGUGGGGGAGGAAGGCUCUAGGGUUGUAAACCCCUUUUCUUUGGGAAGAACAAAAUGACGGUACCAAAGGAAUCAGCCUCGGCUAACUCCGUGCCAGCAGCCGCGGUAAUACGGAGGAGGCAAGCGUUAUCCGGAAUGAUUGGGCGUAAAGCGUCCGCAGGUGGCAAUGUAAGUCUGCUGUCAAAACCCAGGGCUCAACUCUGGUCAGGCAGUGGAAACUACAUAGCUAGAGUUCGGUAGGGGCAAAGGGAAUUCCCGGUGUAGCGGUGAAAUGCGUAGAGAUCGGGAAGAACAUCGGUGGCGAAAAGCGCUUUGCUAGACCGAAACUGACACUCAGGGACGAAAGCUAGGGGAGCGAAUGGGAUUAGAUACCCC